Molecule: long non-coding RNA, 460 nt
Organism: Bos taurus (domestic cattle)
Lineage: Eukaryota; Metazoa; Chordata; Mammalia; Artiodactyla; Bovidae
Source: Ensembl
GGGACACAGGUUUGAUCCCUGAUCCGGGCAGAUCCCACAUGCAGAACAACUAAGCCCGUGUACCACAACUAUGGAACCUGCACUCUAGUGCCUACAAGCCGCAGCUACUGAUCCCACGCACCUCAAGCACUGAAGCCUGCACCCCAGAUCCCUGUUCCACAACAAGAGAGGCCACAGCACCGCAGCUAGAGAGCAGCUCCUGCUCGCUGAAACUAGAUAAAGUCAGGGCAGCAGUAAAGACCCAGCUCAGCCAAAAAUAAGGGACACUGGUUCGAUUCCUGGUCCAGGAAGAUCCCACCUGCCACAGGGCAAAUAAGCCCGUGCACCACAACUACUGAGCCUGUGCUCCACAGUAAGAGGAGCCACUGCAAAGAGAAGCUCGUGCACUGCAACGGGAGAGCAGCCCCUGCUCACACAGCUAAAGAAACCCCGCAUGCAGCAAUGAAGACCCAGGACUACU